This 549-nucleotide ribosomal RNA is filed under the name uncultured bacterium. RNAcentral's name for it is "partial 16S ribosomal RNA". It matches the Rfam family "Bacterial small subunit ribosomal RNA", at positions 356 to 896 of the family's 1533-position model. The record is from RNAcentral.
UGGGAAUUUUGGACAAUGGGCGCAAGCCUGAUCCAGCCAUGCCGCGUGCGGGAAGAAGGCCUUCGGGUUGUAAACCGCUUUUGUCAGGGAAGAAAUCUUCUGAGUUAAUACCUCGGGAGGAUGACGGUACCUGAAGAAUAAGCACCGGCUAACUACGUGCCAGCAGCCGCGGUAAUACGUAGGGUGCAAGCGUUAAUCGGAAUUACUGGGCGUAAAGCGUGCGCAGGCGGUUUUGUAAGACAGAGGUGAAAUCCCCGGGCUCAACCUGGGAACUGCCUUUGUGACUGCAAGGCUUGAGUGCGGCAGAGGGGGAUGGAAUUCCGCGUGUAGCAGUGAAAUGCGUAGAUAUGCGGAGGAACACCGAUGGCGAAGGCAAUCCCCUGGGCCUGCACUGACGCUCAUGCACGAAAGCGUGGGGAGCAAACAGGAUUAGAUAGCCCUGGUAGUCCACGCCCUAAAACGAUGUCAACUGGUUGUUGGGAAGGUUCCUUCUCAGUAACGUAGCUAACGCGUGAAGUUGACCGCCUGGGGAGUACGGCCGCAAGGUUG